CGAAAUGUCGGACAUUGUUAGCUGUACAGUAUCCUUCAAUAAAUUCCGAGGGGGGUGCUUGGAGAAUGAAGACAUCUGUCGGAUCCCAACUAAACCCUUUGAAAAUAUUUCGCGCAAACUUGAUACCGUGCAGACGCAAACUUGACGUGUAGACCGAAAAGGUAAUCAUAACAACUCAGAACAGCAGGAUUCAAGGAUGAAUUGAACAAGAAACUGGAAGAAGUAAGCAAGAAAACGAUUCAUUCAAUAUCCGAAACGCAAGAAUUGAUCCAGCAACUGACGGCCUACACAUGUCAACAAAUGUUGGAGGAGACAACGACCAAAAUGGAGAAUCUUUGUAAUCAGUUGUUGAUUAAGAAUGAACACAAUAGAAAUCUUGACAGAAAGACUCGCAAAGCAGAAUACAUAUUAGCUGGCCAAGAGACCUCUCAGCGAUUAAUAUGCUGAUUUGGAAAAAAACAAAUUGCUUAUCUUAAGUUUCAGUUGUCUGAAAAGGCUAUUGAACUCCAGUGCAAGGAAAGGAAGAUUGAGGAAACUGAGAAUGCCUUGAAAGACUUGUCGCUACAUUCUCAUAGCAAUGAACAGUUGGCCAUUGUCGAAGAAAGUAAUCGCGAACUUUAGGGCAAAUUUGAUGAAAAGGCCCAGGAACUUGAAGCUGCUCUUGUUUGUCGAGAGAAUUCACAACGAUUAAAAGCCGAUCUUGACAAGGAAGUUGCUGAUCUCAAAUGUCAGCUUAUGUCAAAGUCAAUAGAACUCCAGUUGAGCGGAUGGAAGAAAGGGAGAAAGCCAUAGACGAAUUACGCUAAAGUCUCUUAUAACACUUAACGGAAACUUGCCGAUCAGAAAUGGACAUGUCGAGACAAAAAGAAAAGUUGGAGUUAGACGCUUUCACAGAACACGAAGCCGGAAGUGAUUCGGAUUAGCCCCUUUAAGUCCCAGUCAUCGCCCCCUUUCUUACGCAAAUUAUUUAUGUUAUGCUAAUUUUCUUUAUGUCCCCUCAAACAAGUGUAGUAAAUUGAUAGUUAUGAAAUAUAAUAAUGGCGUAUUUAUUUAAAAA
This 1057-nucleotide long non-coding RNA is filed under the name Daphnia pulex (common water flea). Its description in RNAcentral is "uncharacterized LOC124200943, transcript variant X1". The record is from RNAcentral. Lineage: Eukaryota; Metazoa; Arthropoda; Branchiopoda; Diplostraca; Daphniidae.